RNAcentral lists this long non-coding RNA (1532 nucleotides) under Daucus carota (carrot). RNAcentral describes it as "long non-coding RNA (DCAR_LNC005406)". The record is from RNAcentral. Lineage: Eukaryota; Viridiplantae; Streptophyta; Magnoliopsida; Apiales; Apiaceae.
UUUGAAGAUGAUUUGAAUAUACACACUUGUUUCCAUCUGAUUGGUUUUCACCUGAGUGUUCUGAACAAUCGACCAUAGAUGUGAUCCCAUGAUAACCUUCAAAUCUGAAUCAAACCCAUGAAAAUCAUGCCGAUCUAUAACCUCGGUCAUGAAAAACGUGACAGUCCAGGAAUCCGGGGGUCUGGAUUCUGACGUCACCACAUAAAACCCAUUUUUAAACACUUUUGAAAUCCUGUAUUUUUUUUUUUUAAAGAUAAUGAAUCCAAAUAAUUUAAAACUUGAAAACAUUUAAUAAAAGAUUUGAAAGACGUUAAAUAAAAGAUUUAAAAGAGAACAUCUUCACCCCCAAAACAACAGGAUCGCUUCCAGGUUACAGUAUUGAAAUUAGAAUCAACCACUAAUAUUACACAACAUCUCUUACCAAAUCAGAUCAUCUUCGAUAAGAAGAAUCACUGUCAACUAUUCCAGCUUGCACCAACCUCAUCAACUUUCCUGAACACUCCUCGACCACUGGAUCCUCAACUCUGUCUCCUCGCCUAGCAUUAGCCUUACUCACAAUCUCAAUCAAUCAUCUCAUCUUUAAGCCUUUCUGAAAUGGUUAGAAAGGAAUAGCAAGGGUGAGCAACAAUGCUCAGCAAGUAAUAAUAAACAAUGAUAGUUCUGAAAUGAUAUAAUAGAAGUUCACGAGUUCAAGAUAUAAGAGGAUUCAACCUGAGUUCAUGAGUUCAUGGUAUUGUAUAGAAUGAUUUACAAUACCUUGCAGCAUUUAAACUGAGAAAUUCAAUCUUUCCAAAGAAUUAUUGAAUUGGACUAUCACAUUUUAAUUAAAACCAAGGUUAGGCAGCUGAUCAGUUCCGCACUAACCCCGAGCAGGCCCCGCCAUGCUCUAUCACUGGAUCCAAGGCACUCAUUGGCCUAACAUGACCACGAAUCUGGUCCACAGGUUUAUAUAAAAACAAUAAUCCAAUUCUCUAAUUCAAUUCAAGAAGCCAAUGUAAAUUAACAGAACAUCAUCAUAAAUAUCAUCAACAACAGAAUAAUUCCAAUUCAAACUUUGAUAAUAAUCUAUUCAUAAAUCAUGAUCCAUCAUUUCAUAAAUCACAGUUCAGGAAAUCCUCAACUAUUCAGUAUCCUCCAUUAUCGGCUAAGCAACUGAAUUUAGCCUGCUAAACCAGCAUGACAAUGGCGGGUUGAAUAAUCAAGAAGAUCCCAAUUCAUUCAAAGCUCUAACUAUCACUGAGCAACACAUGCUUCAAUGACAAUCUGAACUUCGAAUUAAUUUGUAAAACGGAAAUUCUUUAGAAACUUGAAGAUUAGAAAGAAUGGGUCAGAAUACUCGCACUUUCGAACAUUGAAAAGAAAGGUAUGAAUACUUGAAACAUAUACCAAAGGAAUGGAUCAGAAUAUUUGCAAUAUAUCCAAGAGAAAGGUUUAGGAUACUUGCCUUAAAUCUGACUCCAGUCUCACAUCUCAAUCUCAUCUUUCCACUUUCACAAUCUAUGCAUCUCAUAGUCUCUAGACCAUCUCUGGCU